RNAcentral lists this transfer RNA (65 nucleotides) under Epuraea sp. RNAcentral's name for it is "tRNA-Leu". The record is from RNAcentral. Lineage: Eukaryota; Metazoa; Arthropoda; Insecta; Coleoptera; Nitidulidae.
GUUAUUUUGGCAGACUAGUGCAAUAGACUUAGGAUCUUUAUAUGUAACUAAAAUUACAUUUAACA